UCGCACAUACAAAGGGAGUGGACGUAAACGUCGUCUUGUAGAGACUAAGGAUACUUUGAUGUAUGUUCCCAUUCUUGAAUCCCUACGUCUUCUGCUGAAGAGUAAAACACUGGUAUCUGAGGUGGACAGUGGUCACUCUGAUUCUUCUGGUUUUUUGCGUGACUAUUGUGAUGGCGAAAAUUUCAAAUCACAUCCACUGUUUUCUGUCCGGAAUGAUACUUUGCAGCUCAUACUGUACUAUGACGACUGUGUGGUUGUGAAUCCCCUCGGGUCGAACACAAACUAGGGUUCUUCUAUUAUACUCUUGGAAACCUUACUCCAAAACUGAGAUCCCAGUUAGGUUCAAUUCAACUCCUUGCAGUUGUGAAGACCAGGCUUAUCAAAAAGAGAAUGUAGGCGUGCUGGUGGAUAUCAACGGUUUUCCAAGGCGAUACUUUGGUACGAUAGCAUCAAUUUGUGGAGACAACCUUGGAAGUAAUGCUCUGGGGGAAGUUCUUUACUUGCGAAAUUAAUAUCUCUUGCAAGAUGGUUACGUCACCGCACGAGGCUAGUAUACGGAGGUAUGGGGAAAAGUUGGGGAAACAUUCCAAUAUUUCAUUGAACUUUGAAAGUCAAUUUUUCGAAACGCAUUUCUUUGAAGCCAUCUAACUAAAAACGCUACGCGAACGAUCUGCAUAUCAGUGUGUAGCUGUUGAAAUUCUUUAUAAGAUCAUACUACAAACUCGAUUUUGAUUAUCCCCGCGUUAAGGGCCCUUUUCCUAAGUACUAUCACAUAUGAAUGCCGUCAAAAGCAAGCUAAUAAGGAAGCGAGGUUGUGUAGUGCAUGUAGAAAAUAAUAAUUUAUGCUCCUGUAGUGGUUGGGCGUGGCCUGAUUUUGGGCCAUGCCCAUAUCAUGCAACUGCAUUGUAGUACUUUGGCUGACUCUGGCAAUGAUAUUCUUUAUUAAUACCAUACCCUCGCGAAAAUAAGCCCAUCUUGAAUAAACGCCCAUCCCCUCUUUUGCUUCGAAGUUCUUGCACAAGGGUAUUUUCACUCGAUUAUAAGCCCACCCAGAAUAAGAAGUUGAGCAUGCGCAGUAGCUGAAUGCCACAUGUUUACUAUUAAUUUUUGUGAAGAAAGGAAGUUUUAGGUAGUAGCUAGUAAGACUAUACUCCUUGCUGGACCAAGAUCAGACAUUAUAACUUUCUCUGUAUGGAUCUGUUUGCCCCUGAAGAUGUAUAUGCAGGGAACAAGUAGUCCUAUAUGCUGAGAAAGGAAACAGAAAGUCUAAGAAAGUUAUCACACAGGCUAAUUUUGCAGGUUACCUUGCCUUGGUUUUCUGAAACAAAGUACCUGAUAGCUGCUCUGUAGGAGUAUGACCUACCAUCCUUCGAGAAGUUUCUGCUACAUCUGACAUCAACAAGCAACGAAUAGAGUCAGAGUCCACUUCUUCAUGUUCAUUCUCUUGUCAUGCUUUAAUCAUACUCAUGCAUUAGUUUAUAACAUUGUUGUUGUCAAUAAAAUGUUCAUACUAUCUAUUAAAAUGAAAAUACAAUAAAUU
This is a long non-coding RNA of Halichondria panicea, 1540 nucleotides long. RefSeq lists it as uncharacterized. The transcript has 4 exons. NCBI's taxonomy places the organism in Eukaryota, Metazoa, Porifera, Demospongiae, Suberitida, Halichondriidae. The record is from RefSeq and is a predicted model, not a curated record.